GCGCACUUGAGGACGACCUCCGGCGCACCAUGAGGACAUCGAGGCCGAGACUACAUCAUCUACUGAGAAAGCGGAAGUAAAGUCUAAGAAUGGAUAUAUGAAGAGCUUGGUCAACUUUGCAUUCAUUCUGUGCAAGACCCGCAAAAUCACCCUCAUCACCGUCAUUAUGUUCGUCGACUACCUGAUCGUGGCCAUGGUCUUCUACGGGCUUUUCCUCAGCGCCACGUCCUUCCCUCACACCCCCUC
RNAcentral lists this long non-coding RNA (246 nucleotides) under Penaeus japonicus. RNAcentral describes it as "uncharacterized LOC122243502". Lineage: Eukaryota; Metazoa; Arthropoda; Malacostraca; Decapoda; Penaeidae. The record is from RNAcentral.